CCUACGGGUGGCAGCAGUGGGGAAUAUUGGGCAAUGGACGCAAGUCUGACCCAGCAACGCCGCGUGAAGGAAGAAGGCUUUCGGGUUGUAAACUUCUUUUAAGGGGGAAGAGCAGAAGGAGGUACCCCUUGAAUAAGGCACGGCUAACUAAGUGCCAGCAGCCGCGGUAAUACGUAGGGGGGAAGGGUUGUCCGGAUUUACUGGGUGUAAAGGGCGUGCAGGCGGGAAGACAAGUCAGAUGUGAAAUCCCGCGGCUCAACCGCGGAACUGCAUUUGAAACUGGUUUUGUUGAGUAUCGGAGAGGUAAGCGGAAUUCCUAGUGUAGCGGUGAAAUGCGUAGAUAUUAGGAAGAACACCAGUGGCGAAGGCGGAUUACUGGACGGCAACUGACGGUGAGGCUCGAAAGCGUGGGGAGCAAACAGGAUUAGAUACCCCAGUAGUC
Molecule: ribosomal RNA, 442 nt
Filed under: uncultured bacterium
Lineage: Bacteria
Description: partial 16S ribosomal RNA
Rfam family: Bacterial small subunit ribosomal RNA
Source: RNAcentral